CGGUUACAUUCCGAACCCGGAAGCUAAGCCUUUCAGCGCCGAUGGUACUGCAGGGGGGACUCUGUGGGAGAGUAGGACGCCGCCGAAC
This 88-nucleotide ribosomal RNA is filed under the name Streptomyces hygroscopicus. The record is from RNAcentral. RNAcentral also lists the same sequence under 1 other name. Lineage: Bacteria; Bacillati; Actinomycetota; Actinomycetes; Kitasatosporales; Streptomycetaceae.